AGAAUUACAAUUGUCGAGACUUCAUGGCUUCUACCGACAUAAAUGUCGAAUCUUUUAACAAUUUUCUUUCCAUUUUUAAAACCAUCAACACCAAAGACGACAUCAUGAACUUCGGCUUAAAACAGAUAACGACACAAAUAAAAUACAGAAUGAAAAACAGUCAUGAAUAACAUUUAGACUAAGUAAAUCAAACAAUCAAUUGAAUAAUAUUAAUACACGCCACAUCAGGUGCGGUUGUUGGCACCUGAUGCUCACUGCCGACGUUCAUCACGGAUGAGGUAUUUUUUAAUUUUCUUUCAAUUACUCGAGAACACGAGCGGACGACGAAACGCGAGAUGGAGUUCUGCGAUUCACCACCUGUAGUUCUUGAACUCCAUCUCCCGCAGUUCCAAGAGAUGACGGAACUCCAAGAACCCCAUCUCCCAUGGUUUCACACAACGACAUGCCUCCAUGACCUCCAACUGCAGCGAGCUUCCACUGCGGAGCACGCCCAAUAUUAAUAAUAGUAAUGAAAUAGCUUUGUUUUUCUUGAAUGAAGAGUUGAAAAGUGAAGACCCUCGGAUAAUGAUUAAUGAUAGCACAAGCCAUAAAUGACAAGGCAACAACCAAGAGUCCAAGAGUGAAGAAAAUAAAUGAAGAUCAGAACAACACCUUUGCACUAACGGCCCCUCAUUGUUAUAUGCGUUCCAAAUCGAUAUUAAAUAGACCCACCAUAAAAAGGUACGAAUACAUAUUUUCUACUCUCGUUUUUAUAUGUUUUUAUGACUCUUCUUGUUCUCAAAUCGUCGAUUUCUUUUCCUAAAGAUUUAAGCACGCGUCGUGAACCUUCGGCACGAGAAGGACGGUCGCUUGCACUGGUAAGAUUAUUCGUUCCUCAUCAUAGAGCUUUCGUUGAAGUACGUCUCCUCCCCAUUACUAGCGUCCAAUCACCCAAAGACAUGGUAUAAUACUCCUGAGUCCGAGGUACAACAGCAGUAUUCAAAGAAGGCUCAGUAAGAGUGCACAUGCGAAGUCCAUGGAUUGUGCUUUCCAAAACCCCUGAUGCUUAGCCACCACUGACGAGCAUGAAUAUCGCUUCUCAAACUCAGCAAAGAUCUUAUCCAUAUUUUCAUCAUUCGUCUUCGCCUGCUCGGCCUCUUGGUGCACUUCCGCAUCAACUGAGGCAGUUCGGACCACCUUGUCCUUCUCAGCCUCAGCCUCCUUCAGCUCCUGAUCCAAGCGGCCAACCUGCUCACGCAGGUGAUUCAACUCCUCCACUUGGUCCAAACCUCACAGCAUUUGUACAUUGGCAAGGGUGGCACUACAAAUCAGGAUAUUUGGGUGCGUAGCACGAUCGAACUCCAGAGAGUCAUAAGCAUAGAGGUCGGCAAACUCACUCUCUUUCCUUGCAAAAGUGUCAAGGGCCAGGUCCGCAACUUGGUAAAUCCCCAAGAUGCGGGGCACUGACAUAACAGGAUUGAGAAAGACACUUCCCUCAAGGAAUUUCCCCGGGACAAGGGACGAGUCGAUAAGAGCAUCGAGGUUAAAAUCAUUAACGUCGUUGGGAAUCAGACCGAUUGGGGUUUCCAAGGUACGGAGUUUUAUCCUUCCCAUCUUUCAGGGGCGGUGGGACAGGUUUCUGCUCCUCGGUGGACUCGGACCGAGUCACACAGAUCUUAGAUUUCUUCUUCACAGAGGAAGGAGAGUCAGGAUCCACUACUCCUCAACCAAAAGAAGAUUGAAAUAUAUAUAAAAAAGUAAUACAAGGGAGGAAUAAAGAAAUCUUAUCAAACGAAAAAGUACCAGCUUUGGCAACGUGCGUGGCAAAGAACCACGUACCGCGUCGGAGUGCGUGAGAAGUCAAAAGUUUCUCAACCUUCGUGUAGUCAUAGGAAACUGACCAACAUUUGG
This 1890-nucleotide long non-coding RNA is filed under the name Zostera marina. RNAcentral's name for it is "long non-coding RNA (ZMAR_LNC000375)". Lineage: Eukaryota; Viridiplantae; Streptophyta; Magnoliopsida; Alismatales; Zosteraceae. The record is from RNAcentral.